CCCAGACCUUCAUUUGUCUGUUUCCCCAAAUCUUCAUUCCAGGUGCGUUAUCCCACCCAGAGUGAACUGUAAUCGGACAGGCAAUAAGGAGUAGUUGGAGGCAAACGGUCGUAGGAGUUUCCUGAUUCUCCACCCGCUUCAAUAGAAGCCCAACCUUACGCUGGCAUUGCGACAUAAACAUACGGCAUGACGUCAUGAAGCAUAGCUGCGCUGAGUUUGGGGGGGCAGCCGGAGCUGCUGCGGCCUGCGAUGGCCAGAAGAGACAAGGUAAUGGAACUGAGCAGAAGAGAAGGUGAUUAAAUAACUCGGAGAAAGUUAAUUAGACUGAGGAAGAAUUUGGGGGAAUUGCGUGUUUUAAAAACAGCAAUAAAUUCCACUGGAGAGUAGGUGAUUGUCUGGAAUAGGGUUGCCAGGUGCAGACGCCUCAAGAAUCUUUAAGAAUUGGCUAGGAGGGAGAAUUUAUCCAGGCGCAGCUUCUCCUGCUACAAAGCGCUACAGUGACAGGAAAACUUACACCAGUUCUUCAUUCUAUGACCCUCUUAAAGAUACAGAUGCUCUCCCAACUCAGGAUCACCUGGUAAUCAGAGCUUAAAGAGAGGGAUGGGUCCAUAUAUUCGUGAACCCGCGUGAGAAUCUCGCGUGGGGGAGUUCGAUUGCUAAACAGCAGCUGCUUUGUGACUUUUGCUACGGGCUCCCCAGCAAGAUAGGGGCUUUGCCAGAAUCCUUUCCGCCUUUCUUUUGCGAGCCUGCUGCGUAAGACUUAUCAUCCGAAGCAUUCUCCCCACGUCCCUUCAUCUCACCGACAAAGCAAGUUCCUCGAUCUGUGCCUGACACACAAGCGGGGCUCCACAAACAAGCCGGGAACUUCAUUUUGCCACAUCGCUCCUCUCUUUGGAAAUAGACAUUUAGGAAAAUGGGAGGCUCGCAGUCGCAACUAAAACCCAAGAGCCAAAGGAAGGAAGGAAGGAAGAAACGCCCAGCCAUCUGAGCAUACCAGACAACUGUUAUGCGGGCAUCUCUACAGGAAAAUAAUAACUGUACUUCAGCCUAGAGAAGUACAGUUAGUAACAGUUUCUCUCUCUCUCUCUCUCUCUCUCUCUCUCUCUCUCUCUCUCUCACACACACACACACACACACACGCGCGCGCGCGCGCGCGCGCCGCCUGGCUCCUUAAAGGGAUCUGGCUACAUCCAAAGACCGAUCUCUAAAGUGAAAGCUCAAUUUCUUUAAUUCGAAAUACUGAUAACUGAGGAGCAAAUCCUAAAUCUGGGAAUACUGAGUGAGCCGUUUUUUAAAAGUGGCUGUGGCACCAGGAUCUGAACUGCGUUUACUUGGGUGAGCGAGCCCUACUCGGCCUGCCGCACAGAACUCUAGAGUGCUUAUCACCACCGGGAGGAUUCAGCUAAAGCAAAACGAAAAGCCGAUGUAGUUCUGAGUCCCUUGGGUCUUCGGUGGCUCCUCUCUAGAGGCAGGUUCUCCUGGGCGAAGCCAGCAAGCGGAAAUCAGCCCUCCAGGGUAAGACGGCGGGCUUCACUCCUCCGGAGUCCUGUUGAACUCUCCAGAAUCUCCUUGAGAUAAGGCUUUUGUUGCAUGCAAGGCAGAAGGGGAAAGGCGUCUUUCUUGGAAGUGAGUUGGGUUCUGGAAGAAUGGCUUAUGAAGAAUCCAUUUAUAGGACGGGUCAGAAUCAGGAAGCUAUUCUGGAAUAAAGUGGGGCGUAGCAGUAAGCUUGCAGUGACUCUGAGUUAUUCAUUUUGAACCACAGAAGACUCGCCGUUAAAGAGGACUGCGCGCACAGCGGGAGGUUCCGAAACAAUCCCUUUUUAACUCGGGCUUGGAAGCAGGAAACGAGACUGAGCCAACGAUCUCGAAGCUUUUCAUUAAUUUCCAUGAGAUUCUCUAAAAUUUCUUUAAAAGGCAAAGUAUUUGCGUGGGGCAGGGGUGUGUAGGAGGAGGAAAGUCUCCUUUGCGUGGAUCCAAACAGUGUUAUCUGUUCUCUUCCAGCUGCGUUCCUAACCCUUCAGGAACGGAAAGAGUUAAGCGUUUCCGCAUGCAAAUGAAGCCAGGGUUGGCAGCCACGUGUGCCGCUAGCGAGGGGGAGGGAAGCGAACGCCGAUCGCUCGCCGCGCUCUCUGCCUCUGCAGCAGUCCGCUGGGACAAUGAGGGGCAGAGCAGCUGAGUAGCAGGGAAGAGCUGCGAAUCCCUUACUUCUCGCAGUGAAUAAGGCAAGGUUUUUUAACCCGAGCAACGCCUGACUAAAAAGGGGAGACGCUGCCCUGCCUACCCCGGCAACAAAGCCUCCUUUUACUUUUGUUGUCAGAGACAGACAGACAGCCGUAACAAUUGCAGGAGAAUCCCUCAGCCAAUUCGUGGAGAUGAAAUGAAAGAAAUAUAGGUUAUACCUAACUGGGGGAGUUCACACGUGCAGGAUCUUCCUACUCCGCUACUGCAACAUCCGGGUGAUCAUGUGUUCAUAUGUGCGAAACAGCCAUAGCAGAUAAAACACCAGGCCACUACUUUCGUGUCUCCUGAUACCGCCUUAGACUCAAUAGUUUUAACCCCCGCUGAGGUCAUUCCCACGUUCAGCUAGAAAUAAUAUGAUAAUUACACAUCCAUCCUCAAGGAUACACAGAUGAACUAGCUCUAAGAACCCAUGACAGAGAUGUUAUGGAAAGCAGUUCAGAAAUCUCCCCACUUCAGAUUUCUUACUCUUUGGUUUGAUGACUUGAUCCCUUCCAAAAUCAAGGUACAUCGAGUACCUGCAAGGUUUGCCUGCUUUCCCGAAAAUCUCUGAACACCCCCCCCCAGCUGAGAUAGAGCAGGUAGCUACAAAAGGAAAGGCUUUCUCACCAAUGACCCCACAUUUUUGGAAAAUCCUUCCAAGUGAGACUCACCUGGCGCCUACUUUAAUGUUUUGUUUUUCCAGUGAUGGCCAAAAUAAUUUUUAUUCUUCCUGGCUUGAUCCCUAUUCUGCUUUUAAUGUUUGUGUUUUAAAGUGCAAUCCAGUACAUGACUAGUCAGAGGUAAGCUCCAUUGGGUUCAAUGGGACUUACUUCCAGGUAAGUGUGUACUGGAUUGCAGCAUAACUCUGUGCUUUUUAAGGCUGAACACUAAUGUGGGUUUUUUAGCCUUCUUUUAUCAUUGUCUUAGUGCUCCUUUUACACCGCAUUGAUUGGUUUUGUGAUUUUUAUCUUGGGUUUAAUACUCCUUUGUAUAACACCCAAAGAACAGUAUAUCAUUUAUUUAUUUAUUAUAGUUAUAUCCUACCUUUCUUUCACCAUAGAACCCAAGGCGGCAUACAUGUUCCCAGGUGGUCUCCCAUCCUGGCACUGACCAAACCCAAACCUGCUUAGCUUCAGCAAGUUGGUGGCCUCAUGUGCCUUCAGACCAUAUCAUCCAGAGAACAGUUAUUGGGGGAGUCUAAUAAAUAUAGCAGUCUUUCUUGGUUGGCAAGCUGGUUUUUCUGCACAGGUAUCCCAUUGCUACCAUCACAUCUGGCCUGCAUGCAUUCAGGGAUGCUACUGUCACAUGAAGAUCUGAUAACAAGGAAAAACAAAGUUGUGUGUUUGUGUGUGUAUUGAUGACUCAACAAUCCAACUCACCAGAGGACUUUGCCCAACAGGUUCAUGAGUAUGUUUAAUGACACGGGAAACAAUAUUGAUCUGUAUUUGACCCUAAGAACUACACGAAAGCAGUUGGUUUGGGGCAUCAUUAAAAAGUAGCAAAUUGCCUGGUAUUGAAUUAAUAUGUUUUUAACAACUAAAACUGCAAUCUUAUGCACAUAAGACCUUAUGGGAAUAAGCCUUCUUGAACAUGUGUCCCAAGAAAACAUAGAUAGGAUUGUCUUGGAGGUUAUAGAAAGUGAUAGAGUAUAGGCACCCUCUGACUCUGUUCUGUAAAAUGUAGCAGUUUGUAUCAUAAUCUGAUUUUUGAUGAGUUAAGGUAACGUAGAAGAAGUGCACAUUCAUAGUUCACUUUGUCUUACAAGAGCAACAUAUGAUUUUUUAUGUGCACUGUUGGUUUUGUGGAGGGCUAACACCAUUUGAAUUUUUUUUGUCCUAGGCAUGGUAGGCUGGAUCAUAUUCCAUUUUGGGGGUGGUAUCCAAUUAUAGCACGCUGCUCAUGAAAACGAGUUAGGAGACCCUCUGGAGCAGAUUGGGGAGGUGCUGCAGGAGGAAGGGGAAUUUUGUCUCACCCACCAGUGUGAUGCUGGAUCUUGCCCUAGCGUUUCUACAAUAUAGGAUAUUCUGUGAAGCUCUGGUAUAUUGCAACAUAAGUGAGGAUCUUUUAAACAUAAGAGAUAAUUUCUGACACCCCAAGCCAUAAUGUAGAUGCUGUCAAACACAUUUUAUUUAUAUUGAAGAGAAAACAUAUGUGUUUGUGAAGGGGGUGCUAUUAUUAAAUCAGCAAAUCGCAUUGAUCUAGAAGACUUAAAACAGGAAAGAACCAGCAGUCGAAGGCUUGUCUGUAUCAAGGAGGACAAUCACUUUAACUGCGAUCAGAGCAGGAACCGCAGUGCUGGCUUAGCUUGCAAGGAAAGGGCUUGCUGGGUAUCGCCAUUUGUAUAUACCUCUGGCUAGGAGCCGAACAAAGACCCUGCCUCUGUACUGUCACAGAGCUGAGCCAAUAAAAAGCAAACUGAUAUUACAAUUUUGAUUUCCCUGGGGGCCUGAAGGGGCUUAAUGUAAGAAUUAUUAUCCAUUGUGAAUAGCGGCUGAUAUAGAG
This is a long non-coding RNA of Rhineura floridana, 4722 nucleotides long. RefSeq lists it as uncharacterized. The transcript has 3 exons. The record is from RefSeq and is a predicted model, not a curated record. NCBI's taxonomy places the organism in Eukaryota, Metazoa, Chordata, Lepidosauria, Squamata, Rhineuridae.